RNAcentral lists this ribosomal RNA (252 nucleotides) under uncultured bacterium. RNAcentral's name for it is "partial 16S ribosomal RNA". It matches the Rfam family "Bacterial small subunit ribosomal RNA", at positions 524 to 776 of the family's 1533-position model. The record is from RNAcentral.
UACGUAGGGACCAAGCGUUGUCCGGAAUCAUUGGCGUAAAGAGCGUGUAGGCGGCUUGUUAAGUCUUGCGUGAAAACUCAGGGCUCAACCCUGAGCGUGCUUCCGAUACGGGCAGACUAGAGGUAUGCAGGGGAGAACGGAAUUCCUGGUGUAGCGGUGGAAUGCGCAGAUAUCAGGAGGAACACCGAUGGCGAAGGCAGAUCUCUGGGCCACUACUGACGCUGAGGAGCGAAAGCAUGGGGAGCGAACAGG